CAUUAUUAUCACAGUGUUUAGGAAGCUUAUAGUUCCCCUGAGCUCUAAGCCCUGAAUAAAUCUUAGCAGCUAUGGCUCUUCUUCUCCUCUCUCUUCUCUUGUUAUUCUCUCUCUCCUUCCACGUAGGCAACCUGCCUGAGGAUCCACCGGCAGUCAUUUUUUCCGGCGAACAAGAACCCACUUCUCUCUAGAGCUCUGUUUGGUAUUGGCGUGUGAUUUGUCUCACUUUAUCACGAGAAUUGCUUUGUUUGUUGAAUUUUUGCAAGAAAGAAAAGCUGCUCGUGUUGUUUCCUAGAUUCUUCUCAUUUCCUC
RNAcentral lists this unclassified non-coding RNA (312 nucleotides) under Hevea brasiliensis (rubber tree). Lineage: Eukaryota; Viridiplantae; Streptophyta; Magnoliopsida; Malpighiales; Euphorbiaceae. The record is from RNAcentral.